UACCAGACUCCUACGGGAGGCAGCAGUGGGGGAUAUUGCACAAUGGGGGAAACCCUGAUGCAGCGACGCCGCGUGGGUGAGGAAGUAUUUCGGUAUGUAAAGCCCUCUCAGCAGGGAGGAAGAUGACAGUACCUGACUAAGAAGCCCCGGCUAACUACGUGCCAGCAGCCGCGGUAAUACGUAGGGGGCAAGCGUUAUCCGGAUUUACUGGGUGUAAAGGGGGCGCAGACGGCGAUGCAAGCCAGGAGUGAAAGCCCGGGGCCCAGCCCCGGGCCUGCUCUUGGAACUGCGUGGCUAGAGUGCAGGAGGGGCAGGCGGAAUUCCUGGUGUAGCGGUGAAAUGCGUAGAUAUCAGGAGGAACACCGGUGGCGAAGGCGGCCUGCUGGACGGCAACUGACGUUGAGGCCCGAAAGCGUGGGGAGCAAACAGGAUUAGAUACCCCCGUAAAA
Molecule: ribosomal RNA, 449 nt
Filed under: uncultured bacterium
Lineage: Bacteria
Description: partial 16S ribosomal RNA
Rfam family: Bacterial small subunit ribosomal RNA
Source: RNAcentral